RNAcentral lists this ribosomal RNA (383 nucleotides) under uncultured Prevotellaceae bacterium. RNAcentral describes it as "bacterial SSU rRNA". It matches the Rfam family "Bacterial small subunit ribosomal RNA", at positions 40 to 414 of the family's 1533-position model. Lineage: Bacteria; Pseudomonadati; Bacteroidota; Bacteroidia; Bacteroidales; Prevotellaceae. The record is from RNAcentral.
CUACAGGCUUAACACAUGCAAGUCGAGGGGUAACGAGAGGAAAGCUUGCUUUCCUUGUCGACGACCGGCGCACGGGUGAGUAACGCGUAUCCAACCUGCCCCCAACUAGGGAAUAACCUUGCGAAAGUAAGACUAAUACCCUAUAAUUUCCUCAGAUGCCAUCUGACGAGGAAUAAAGAUUUAUCGGUUGUGGAUGGGGAUGCGUCUGAUUAGCUUGUUGGCGGGGUAACGGCCCACCAAGGCAACGAUCAGUAGGGGUUCUGAGAGGAAGGUCCCCCACAUUGGAACUGAGACACGGUCCAAACUCCUACGGGAGGCAGCAGUGAGGAAUAUUGGUCAAUGGGCGGAAGCCUGAACCAGCCAAGUAGCGUGAAGGAUGACGG